UGCGUAGGCGGAAUAUUAAGUCAGUGGUGAAAUCCUGCGGCUCAACCGUAGAACUGCCAUUGAUACUGAUAUUCUUGAAUGUAGUUGAGGUAGGCGGAAUGUGUAAUGUAGCGGUGAAAUGCUUAGAUAUUACACAGGACACCGAUUGCGAAGGCAGCUUACUAAACUAUGAUUGACGCUGAGGCACGAAAGCGUGGGGAGCGAACAGGAUUAGAUACCCUGGUAGUCC
RNAcentral lists this ribosomal RNA (229 nucleotides) under uncultured bacterium. RNAcentral describes it as "partial 16S ribosomal RNA". It matches the Rfam family "Bacterial small subunit ribosomal RNA", at positions 568 to 796 of the family's 1533-position model. The record is from RNAcentral.